This 429-nucleotide ribosomal RNA is filed under the name Bacillota bacterium. Its description in RNAcentral is "Firmicutes bacterium partial 16S ribosomal RNA". It matches the Rfam family "Bacterial small subunit ribosomal RNA", at positions 355 to 776 of the family's 1533-position model. The record is from RNAcentral. Lineage: Bacteria; Bacillati; Bacillota.
UAGGGAAUCUUCGGCAAUGGACGGAAGUCUGACCGAGCAACGCCGCGUGAGUGAAGAAGGUUUUCGGAUCGUAAAGCUCUGUUGUUAGAGAAGAACGUUGGUAGGAGCGGAAAAUCUACCAAGUGACGGUAACCAACCAGAAAGGGACGGCUAACUACGUGCCAGCAGCCGCGGUAAUACGUAGGUCUCGAGCGUUGUCCGGAUUUAUUGGGCGUAAAGCGAGCGCAGGCGGUUCUUUAAGUCUGAAGUUAAAGGCAGUGGCUUAACCAUUGUACGCUUUGGAAACUGGAGGACUUGAGUGCAGAAGGGGAGGGUGGAAUUCCAUGUGUAGCGGUGAAAUGCGUAGAUAUAUGGAGGAACACCGGUGGCGAAAGCGGCUCUCUGGUCUGUAACUGACGCUGAGGCUCGAAAGCGUGGGGAGCAAACAGG